Non-coding RNA from Maylandia zebra (zebra mbuna), 788 nucleotides. Lineage: Eukaryota; Metazoa; Chordata; Actinopteri; Cichliformes; Cichlidae. The record is from RefSeq and is a predicted model, not a curated record.
AAUUGCAAACUUGAGAAUUUCUGAUAUUGCUUAAUCCCUGGUUCCCCACAAGCACCUCCCUUCCUGCUCUUCCUGUUUCGCUUCUCUUUGCUGAUCUCCGUGUCAGACGACCUUCUUUAGCACAAACAGCACAGAUCUGCCGGACUCACAGCUGGACCAACGAGGCAGAGUGGAACCAAACCAGCAGCAGAGAGAUGAUGAAAGAACCUGUAGAAGAAUCACCAACUAAAGCAGCUUCCACAGCAGAAGAGGAGCUUGCCAGGGUGCGGUCAGCUUUUGUUUGGAGGGUGUCAACAGAAAUCCUUAAACAGCUCCUUGAGGCCCUUGUAAGUGACGGUGUCUUAAAUGAAUUGGAGAAAGAAUCAAUACUGGAAGGGAACCCAGUCAGAGCAGAUAAGGCACGUUGCUUCAUUGAUACAGUGAGGAAGAAAGGGGACAAAGCCAGCAGGAUCAUGGUCAGACAUCUUCAGACUAUAGAUCUCUCCCUUUUCUCUCAGCUGCGUUUAUACUCUGAUCCAUCUGCUCAACAAGGUGAGUCCACUUUUCUCUGUAGUUUGUUGAGAUGUGAAGUGUAAAACCUCAGAAUUUAAUAUAACGAAAAGCAGAAAGCGGGAACUUCAUUCCACAACAUACAUUUGGAUUUAUUAAAGGGCUGCUCACAAUGGAAAAAAAAAACCUUUCCCAAACGGCCAUGACGGAGUGAAGAUCAUUAAAAGAUGUAUUGGUAGCAGAAUAAACCCUGCAAUUACCUCUUAAAUCCAUGCCUGCAAGACCACUCUAACGACAAU